UUCACUUACAUUUGAAUCAGCUAAUAAACGAGUCAAGAAAUGGCCGCAAAGUUAGCAGAGUGCACAAAUCAUCACACUUACCUUGCUUACUGAAUGUUCAAGAGCAACACCAUCCAAGAAACAGCUUAAUCUUGAAAUACUUGCCUGCCUCCAAAUAAAAAAAAAGGGAUGUCUAAGUGGCACGAAAUUAGCAAAAUUAGCAACUAACGAGAGUAUGGGUGUUUAAAGUAUAGCAUGCAACUUUUACUUAUAAACAGAUUGAGAUCAAAGUAAAUGAAAAGUGUAAUACGUAAUGGAACAGUGAGCAGGAAUAUGCUUGUUAGCUGGACUCUUCAAGGGAGGAAAAGGGCAAUGUCAGCCCAUCCCCAGUUUGAUUGAUCUGACGACAAUAUGUUGAGUACCUGAAAUUGGGAAAUGUUGGAACGAAAUAAAUAUUCCAUUGAAAUAAGAGCAAUAUAUUUGGUAGUGGUCCUGCAUUCUCAUGUGCUUAAUCACAAGUCAUCUUUCCUUGGUUUCUAGGCAACUCAACAGUUCAUCAUCAUUAAUUGAAACAUUAAGGCUAGCAUGUGCCUACCCUUAUACGGACACAAAAAAAAACAAAUAACAAAUGAAGAAAUAAAACAACAUACCUGCAAAUUGCAAGGUGA
This 647-nucleotide long non-coding RNA is filed under the name Gossypium raimondii (Peruvian cotton). RNAcentral describes it as "long non-coding RNA (GRAI_LNC006717)". The record is from RNAcentral. Lineage: Eukaryota; Viridiplantae; Streptophyta; Magnoliopsida; Malvales; Malvaceae.